This is a long non-coding RNA of Olea europaea var. sylvestris, 548 nucleotides long. RefSeq lists it as uncharacterized. The record is from RefSeq and is a predicted model, not a curated record. Lineage: Eukaryota; Viridiplantae; Streptophyta; Magnoliopsida; Lamiales; Oleaceae. The transcript is spliced from 3 exons.
AAAGACUAACCAAAGAGAGUAUAUUCAAAAGCUUUUGAAUUUGUCCCCUGCCGAGCUGAGUAAGCAUGCUGUAGAGUUGGAGAAAAGAACAAUCCAGUUGGCACAAGAGGAAGGAAAAGAGAUGCAACGAAUGAACGCACUCAACAUUUUUAGGAAUUCUGGUAAAUGAACGACUCUUCGCAGUAAACUCAUUUAUUGGGCAAACUUGUGGAGCUGAAGCACCUAUAUGGAUUUCUUGUGUAGUUCAAUUUGACGUAGCCUUAAAUGGAAGCUCUUCAUUAACCAUACUGCAAUUAGAUUAAUAGCUUAGCUUCUAUUUUCUGUACUAUCUUUUUGGAAAGUGUUAUAAUUACUCUAGUCAAAUUGUGCUCUAUUUCAUCAAACCAUUGAUCCUCUUUAGGAAAUAUGCAACAAGCUAGCAGAUUUUUAUUUUUAUUUUUUUAAAAUAAUUGAGCUGUUCCGCUUCUUUCCUUGUAUUCUUUAGUUUUCUGUUUAAAAUCUAUGUAUUAUUGGUUGAAAUUAAAUAAAGUGGUCGGAUUAGCAUUGAA